GCGGGAAUUCCAGCUCCAAUAGCGUAUAUUAAAGUUGUUGCAGUUAAAAAGCUCGUAGUUGAAUUUCGGGGUUCUACCGUUGGUCGGGCAAUAGUCUGUACUGGCGUGUAGAAUUUCUACCUUCUGGGGAACCAUCAUGUUAUUUAUUUAGCGUGGUGGGAAACCAGGACCUUUACCUUGAAAAAAUUAGAGUGUUCAAAGCAGGCUUACGUCUGAAUACAUUAGCAUGGAAUAAUAAAAUAGGACGGUGGUCCUGUUUUGUUGGUUUCUGAAUCACCGUAAUGAUUAAUAGGGAUAGUUGGGGGCAUUAGUAUUCAAUUGUCAGAGGUGAAAUUCUUGGAUUUAUUGAAGACUAACUUCUGCGAAAGCAUUUGCCAAGGAUGUUUUCAUUAAUCAAGAACGAAAGUUAGGGGAUCGAAGACGAUCAGAUACCGUCGUAGUCUUAACCAUAAACUAUGCCGACUAGGGAUCGGACGAUGUAU
RNAcentral lists this ribosomal RNA (482 nucleotides) under Gigaspora margarita. RNAcentral describes it as "SSU rRNA". It matches the Rfam family "Eukaryotic small subunit ribosomal RNA", at positions 576 to 1065 of the family's 1831-position model. Lineage: Eukaryota; Fungi; Glomeromycota; Glomeromycetes; Diversisporales; Gigasporaceae. The record is from RNAcentral.